RNAcentral lists this ribosomal RNA (719 nucleotides) under Maribacter sp. SRO_470. Its description in RNAcentral is "bacterial SSU rRNA". It matches the Rfam family "Bacterial small subunit ribosomal RNA", at positions 154 to 869 of the family's 1533-position model. Lineage: Bacteria; Pseudomonadati; Bacteroidota; Flavobacteriia; Flavobacteriales; Flavobacteriaceae. The record is from RNAcentral.
AAACUUGGAUUAAUGCCCCGUAGUACCGUAUUUCGGCAUCGUUAUACGGUUAAAGCCUUCGGGCGGUACAAGAUGGCCAUGCGUCCCAUUAGCUUGUUGGUAAGGUAACGGCUUACCAAGGCUACGAUGGGUAGGGGCCCUGAGAGGGGGAUCCCCCACACUGGUACUGAGACACGGACCAGACUCCUACGGGAGGCAGCAGUGAGGAAUAUUGGACAAUGGAGGAGACUCUGAUCCAGCCAUGCCGCGUGCAGGAAGAAUGCCCUAUGGGUAGUAAACUGCUUUUAUACGGGAAGAAAAAGAGCUACGUGUAGCUUACUGACGGUACCGUAAGAAUAAGGACCGGCUAACUCCGUGCCAGCAGCCGCGGUAAUACGGAGGGUCCGAGCGUUAUCCGGAAUUAUUGGGUUUAAAGGGUCCGUAGGCGGGCCGAUAAGUCAGGGGUGAAAGUCUGCCGCUCAACGGUAGAACUGCCUUUGAUACUGUCGGUCUUGAGUUAUAGUGAAGUUGCCGGAAUAUGUAGUGUAGCGGUGAAAUGCAUAGAUAUUACAUAGAACACCGAUUGCGAAGGCAGGUGACUAACUAUAUACUGACGCUGAUGGACGAAAGCGUGGGGAGCGAACAGGAUUAGAUACCCUGGUAGUCCACGCCGUAAACGAUGGAUACUAGCUGUCCGGAACCUUGAGUUCUGGGCGGCCAAGCGAAAGUGAUAAGUAUCC